UGUAGGCGGAUUAUUAAGUCAGAAGUGAAAGCCCUGGGCUCAACCCAGGAAGUGCUUUUGAUACUGAUGAUCUUGAGUGUGGGAGAGGAUAGUAGAAUUCCUGGUGUAGUGGUGAAAUACGUAGAUAUCAGGAGGAACACCGGUGGGGAAGCCGGCUGUCUGGCCCAACACUGACGCUCAGACCCGAAAGCGUGGGUAGCAAACA
RNAcentral lists this ribosomal RNA (205 nucleotides) under uncultured bacterium. Its description in RNAcentral is "partial 16S ribosomal RNA". It matches the Rfam family "Bacterial small subunit ribosomal RNA", at positions 570 to 774 of the family's 1533-position model. The record is from RNAcentral.